CAAUAGCGUAUAUUAAUGUUGCUGUAGUUAAAAAGCUCGUAGUUGGAUUUUUAUGGUCUGAGUGCAUGGCGGCUGUGAUUGCUACGGUAGUUGCAGUUGGUCUGGUGGGAGCUUCUGAUGCCAUGUGUGUCGUUGCUGCUCACCCGCUUGGACAUACACGUUGCGAACUGUAAGCCUAGGCGGGCUUGCGUGCUUAACUGUGCGCGGGUGUUGUCGUUCUCAGCAAUGGGAGGGUUUUAGUUCCGUUUACUUUGAACAAAAUAGAGUGUUUAAAGCAGGCUCGUAUGUUAGCCUUAAUAUCCUAGCAUGGAAUAAAACAGCGCAAGACUUCGGUCUUUGUGCCGUGCGGUGUCAAAGUCGUGCGGUGCAGGUUUGUUGGUUUUAAGACCAGAAGUUAAGGAUUAAAAGGAACAGUUGGGGGCUUUUGUAUUUCAAAGUCAGAGGUGAAAUUCUUGGAUUUUUGAAAGACAAACAUAUGCGAAAGCAUCAGUCUAAGAUGUUUUCAUUAA
This 509-nucleotide ribosomal RNA is filed under the name uncultured eukaryote. Its description in RNAcentral is "partial 18S ribosomal RNA". It matches the Rfam family "Eukaryotic small subunit ribosomal RNA", at positions 592 to 976 of the family's 1831-position model. The record is from RNAcentral.